RNAcentral lists this microRNA precursor (99 nucleotides) under Anolis carolinensis (green anole). RNAcentral's name for it is "microRNA aca-mir-132 precursor". Its record names the gene aca-mir-132. The stretch from base 13 to 94 matches the Rfam family "mir-132 microRNA precursor family". The record is from miRBase by way of RNAcentral. Lineage: Eukaryota; Metazoa; Chordata; Lepidosauria; Squamata; Anolidae.
CACGGCAACCGUCUCCAGGGCAACCGUGGCUUUAGAUUGUUACUGUGCGGACGUGGGUUUGGUAACAGUCUACAGCCAUGGUUGGUCCGGCGGACGCAA